UACGGGGGGAGCAAGCGUUGUUCGGAUUUACUGGGCGUAAAGGGCGCGUAGGCGGUCAGCACAAGUCAGUUGUGAAAUCUCCGGGCUUAACUCGGAAAGGUCAACUGAUACUAUGCGACUAGAGUGCAGAAGGGGCAACUGGAAUUCUCGGUGUAGCGGUGAAAUGCGUAGAUAUCGAGAGGAACACCUGCGGCGAAGGCGGGUUGCUGGGCUGACACUGACGCUGAUGCGCGAAAGCCAGGGGAGCGAACGGG
This 254-nucleotide ribosomal RNA is filed under the name uncultured bacterium. Its description in RNAcentral is "partial 16S ribosomal RNA". It matches the Rfam family "Bacterial small subunit ribosomal RNA", at positions 524 to 776 of the family's 1533-position model. The record is from RNAcentral.